CAGGCUCUUAAUCAGAUGCAUUUGCCCAUUCUGUUAUCCGGUUAGCCAGUAGGGCUUUGACUGUGGUGAUUCGUCUUCGAGUCGAUUGAAGAUUCUGGAUUUCGCCGAAAUACUUCUACUUUGCGGGGUUUUCUGACGGACGUGUCUCCCCCGGGUUCGCCACGCCCCUCUUGCUGUUUCCCGAUUGGCAGUUUUGGCAUCUCGGGGUAAUAGUAUUUGGUCUGCCGCAUCGGUAGCAAAACAAUCCCCUUUCGGAGGAUGGGCAAUCCAUAAACAUGUGGCCCUCUGCACGACAAUUCCAGCAAACGAUGGUCCUAUUUUGCUGAAUGUUCGUUCGAAUAGCCGAAAUACAUUCGGGGGCUUCCCGGUGCGUCUCGUGUUCGUCAAAUUCAUAUUCGUCAAGGGCCACUUCAUUGACAUGUCUCGUAGGACGCGUGUGAGGAGCCACAGGCCUUGGAUCUCGCCUUGGAAAAUUCCUCUCGGCCUCUUUGCACUCAACACGCAGCAUCUCUACGGUGGCGAUGGACAUCGGAUAAACCACCAUCUUAAUAUUUUCCUUGACAUUUACCUUUAUGAUGCUAAUCAUGUCUUGGUCAGUUAUAGGGUGUAACAAGCGAGAUCUCAGCUGUCCCAUGGCCUGGAAAUACGCAUCAACCGGUUCAUUUGACAACUGUUUUCUGUCCACCAAGUGUCUCAUGGCUUCGAACGCCGAUUUGGUAGAGCGAUAUUGGCACAGGAGAGCAUCCUUCAAUUGAAUCCACUGGGUGAAAUUCCUUAGUUUCUGUGAUUGCCAGAACCACUCCAAUACGGGUCCAGAUACUAAUAAUCUAAAGUCCCUUAAGAUCUCCUCCCACGGGACUCCGUAUUGCGACUGUAGGCACUCCAAGCGGAAUAUAAAUUCCUCAACGGUGACUGUGAGUAGUUC
This is a long non-coding RNA of Stomoxys calcitrans (stable fly), 925 nucleotides long. RefSeq lists it as uncharacterized. The record is from RefSeq and is a predicted model, not a curated record. The transcript is spliced from 3 exons. NCBI's taxonomy places the organism in Eukaryota, Metazoa, Arthropoda, Insecta, Diptera, Muscidae.